UUUUCCCAGCGCCCAUCUCCCUGCCGUGCAGCUCUAGCUCCCGCGCCCUGAGCUCCUCCCAGCCAUGGAGCUCGCCGGCCUGCAGCUCGCCCAGCCAGCCGUGGUUCUCCCUGUCCCCAGCUCGGCUGCUCGCUCCUCCCAUGGAGCUCGCCCAGCGCCCUUGCACUCUCCCUCAUGUCCGGUCAUUCCUCCUUUUCUUGGUCGUUGUCGAGCUCGCAGGUGACACCAGGGUCGGUCGUCCCUGCUCCCCCUUGCCUCCCUCCGCGCGCACGCCAGCCGUUGCUCCAGCUUGCCGCGCCCAUGGCCGAGGCCUCCUUCCUACGCGCGCAGAUUUCUUUUCCCUAGCUCGGUCCGGCCCUUUGCUGCAGCUCGUCCCCAUGGCCGCCGCAGUCCUGCCGAGAUCCCUGACGUACGCGCGCUGCUCCUCCCUCGCCAUGCCGCGCCGAUCCCUCUCCUUCCUACCCUGCUCGGAUUGUGCCGCGCUGCUGUCGCGUUUGGCCUGCUCCGGAUCCGAAGUUGGUCGCUUUGGUGUGAAAUUGCCAUUGCAUCCGGGGUUUUGACAUGUCUCCCUACUCGCCGUCGAACUUAGGUUCCCUGCUUAGCCUUUAGCGCUAGCGCGUCGCCGUGAUGUUACCGUCUCGCCGUGAUUGGUCCGUGUCUCCACAUGUUCAAAUCGUCAACCCCGUGCAUCACCUGCUCGCUAAAUGGGAAACCAACAGUCCUGUCCUCUCCCUGCUCCUCUGCGCGCAGCCGCGUUCCUCUAUCAGCCAUCCGUUGCCGCUGAACCACUGUCGAAUUAAUUUUCAGCUUCCCUCGUGCGGCUCUCUGGAGAUAAGCUCUUCAUCGGCUGUCGCUCCCAAUCUUCAGUUCGCCGACUGACUGUCGUGUUCCUUAUUUUUCCUCGUCAGUCGACCUCAUCGCGACUUAGUUCGUCCAUCGUGCUGGUCGCUAUUCCAUACUAUACCUAUUAGCUCAGAUCAUGCCCAGCUCGUCGUCGCGUCGUUUGCCGUCGAGUCGUCAAACACGUCAUCCCCUGCUCGACCCCCACCUCACCAGCUCGCCCCAAACCCGAUCUCGUCGUCGUUCCACGCGUCAGCAAGAAAUCUCAAGAGUCGAGUGAAGACGGAGCCAACAACGUGGUGUUCACCAAGUGCACGACAGAAAGCUCGAGCCAGGAUUUAUCAGCAUUCGUACGAGUAUUGGGUCGCGUUUGAUGACGGUACGUUAAUUAAUCGCAUGUUGCGGAAGACGAGCCAAGUCGACCCAAGGGUGGACUAAUUCGCAAGAUGAUGCUGGUGGGUUAACCUGAAGAUGGAUAAUCGGAACAAGUAUCAGAACAAAAGAUGAUCGCCAAGUGGACGACGUCUAACAACACUAACCUAGUGCUAUCCAGGCAAGCCCCGGUGCAUGCAACCCCUUCCUUGUGUUUUUAAAUAAUUUUUGCACACUUUAAGUCUAGCGAAAUGUGCAUUAGGUUUAUAGGAGUUGCUAGGAAACCCUUUGAUGCAUUGCCUUCCUUGAUAUCCAUACCUUUAUAGAUACUUCUGGUGAAGUAUCAAAAUAUGAUUUACAAAAAUGCUUAGCCCUGCUU
RNAcentral lists this long non-coding RNA (1591 nucleotides) under Zea mays. RNAcentral describes it as "uncharacterized LOC100194353 (LOC100194353)". The record is from RNAcentral. Lineage: Eukaryota; Viridiplantae; Streptophyta; Magnoliopsida; Poales; Poaceae.